This 458-nucleotide ribosomal RNA is filed under the name uncultured bacterium. RNAcentral's name for it is "partial 16S ribosomal RNA". It matches the Rfam family "Bacterial small subunit ribosomal RNA", at positions 338 to 795 of the family's 1533-position model. The record is from RNAcentral.
CCUACGGGCGGCAGCAGUGAGGAAUAUUGGUCAAUGGGCGAGAGCCUGAACCAGCCAAGUCGCGUGAGGGAGUACUGCCCUAUGGGUUGUAAACCUCUUUUGUCGGGGAGCAAAAGCCGGACGUGUCCGGCUGUGAGAGUACCCGAAGAAAAAGCAUCGGCUAACUCCGUGCCAGCAGCCGCGGUAAUACGGAGGAUGCGAGCGUUAUCCGGAUUUAUUGGGUUUAAAGGGGGCGCAGGCGGGUUUUUAAGUCAGCGGUAAAAUCGUGGGGCUCAACCCCAUCGAGCCGUUGAAACUGGGGAUCUAGAGUGUGCGAGAGGUAUGCGGAAUGCGUGGUGUAGCGGUGAAAUGCAUAGAUAUCACGCAGAACCCCGAUUGCGAAGGCAGCAUACCGGUGCACAACUGACGCUCAGGCACGAAAGCGUGGGUAUCGAACAGGAUUAGAUACCCCGGUAGUC